GAUGAACGCUGGCGGCGUGCCUAAUACAUGCAAGUCGAGCGAACGGACGAGAAGCUUGCUUCUCUGAUGUUAGCGGCGGACGGGAGUAACACGUGGAUAACCUACCUAUAAGACUGGGAUAACUUCGGGAAACCGUAGCUAAUACCGGAUAAUAUUUUGAACCGCAUGGUUCAAAAGUGAAAGACGGUCUUGCUGUCACUUAUAGAUGGAUCCCGGCUGCAUCAGCUAGUUGGUAAGGUAACGGCUUACCAAGGCAACGAUGCAUAGCCGACCUGAGAGGGUGAUAGGCCACACUGGAACUGGGACACGGUCCAGACGCCUACGGGAGGCAGCAGUAGGGAAUCUUCCGCAAUGGGCGAAAGCCUGACGGAGCAACGCCGCGUGAGUGAUGAAGGUCUUCGGAUCGUAAAACUCUGUUAUUAGGGAAGAACAUAUGUGUAAGUAAAUGUGCACAUCUUGACGGUACCUAAUCAGAAAGCCACGGCUAACUACGUG
RNAcentral lists this ribosomal RNA (495 nucleotides) under uncultured bacterium. RNAcentral's name for it is "partial 16S ribosomal RNA". It matches the Rfam family "Bacterial small subunit ribosomal RNA", at positions 28 to 507 of the family's 1533-position model. The record is from RNAcentral.